Non-coding RNA from Gnomoniopsis sp. IMI 355080, 100 nucleotides. The record is from the annotation of a GenBank genome assembly. Lineage: Eukaryota; Fungi; Ascomycota; Sordariomycetes; Diaporthales; Gnomoniaceae.
GGGGCGCUGGCGCAACGGUAGCGUGUGAGAUUCCAGAAAAAGCUUGUAAAAGCUUAUAGGAGACUCCUCAAGGUUAUCAGUUCAAAUCUGGUGUGCCUCA